UACGUAGGGGGCAAGCGUUGUCCGGAAUCAUUGGGCGUAAAGCGCGUGUAGGCGGUUCGGUAAGUCCGCUGUGAAAGUCGGGGGCUCAACCCUCGGAUGCCGGUGGAUACUGUCGAGCUUGAGUACGGAAGAGGCGAGUGGAAUUCCUGGUGUAGCGGUGAAAUGCGCAGAUAUCAGGAGGAACACCAAUUGCGAAGGCGGCUCACUGGCCCGGUACUGACGCUGAGGUGCGAAAGCGUGGGGAGCAAACAGG
Molecule: ribosomal RNA, 253 nt
Filed under: uncultured bacterium
Lineage: Bacteria
Description: partial 16S ribosomal RNA
Rfam family: Bacterial small subunit ribosomal RNA
Source: RNAcentral